Molecule: ribosomal RNA, 253 nt
Filed under: uncultured bacterium
Lineage: Bacteria
Description: partial 16S ribosomal RNA
Rfam family: Bacterial small subunit ribosomal RNA
Source: RNAcentral
UACGUAGGGUCCGAGCGUUGUCCGGAAUUAUUGGGCGUAAAGGGCUCGUAGGUGGUUUGUCGCGUUGUUCGUGAAAACUCACAGCUUAACUGUGGGCGUGCGGGCGAUACGGGCAGACUGGAGUACUGCAGGGGAGACUGGAAUUCCUGGUGUAGCGGUGGAAUGCGCAGAUAUCAGGAGGAACACCGGUGGCGAAGGCGGGUCUCUGGGCAGUAACUGACGCUGAGGAGCGAAAGCGUGGGGAGCGAACAGG